CGCGGAGUAGAGCAGUGGUAGCUCGCCAGGCUCAUAACCUGGAAGUCGUUGGUUCGAUCCCAUCCUCCGCAA
Molecule: transfer RNA, 72 nt
Filed under: Lachnospiraceae bacterium
Lineage: Bacteria; Bacillati; Bacillota; Clostridia; Lachnospirales; Lachnospiraceae
Also listed under: 4 other names
Description: tRNA-Met
Rfam family: tRNA
About the family: Transfer RNA (tRNA) molecules are approximately 80 nucleotides in length. Their secondary structure includes four short double-helical elements and three loops (D, anti-codon, and T loops). Further hydrogen bonds mediate the characteristic L-shaped molecular structure. tRNAs have two regions of fundamental functional importance: the anti-codon, which is responsible for specific mRNA codon recognition, and the 3' end, to which the tRNAs corresponding amino acid is attached (by aminoacyl-tRNA synthetases). tRNAs cope with the degeneracy of the genetic code in two manners: having more than one tRNA (with a specific anti-codon) for a particular amino acid; and 'wobble' base-pairing, i.e. permitting non-standard base-pairing at the 3rd anti-codon position.
Source: RNAcentral